This 441-nucleotide ribosomal RNA is filed under the name uncultured bacterium. Its description in RNAcentral is "partial 16S ribosomal RNA". It matches the Rfam family "Bacterial small subunit ribosomal RNA", at positions 338 to 795 of the family's 1533-position model. The record is from RNAcentral.
CCUACGGGAGGCAGCAGUGGGGGAUAUUGCACAAUGGGGGAAACCCUGAUGCAGCGACGCCGCGUGAGUGAAGAAGUAUUUCGGUAUGUAAAGCUCUAUCAGCAGGGAAGAAGAAAGACGGUACCUGAGUCAGAAGCCCCGGCUAACUACGUGCCAGCAGCCGCGGGAAUACGUGGGGGGCAAGCGUUAUCCGGAUUUACGGGGUGGAAAGGGAGUGUAGACGGUAUGGCAAGUCUGAAGUGAAAGACCCGGGCUCAACCUGGGAACUGCUAUGGAAACUGUUAAACUAGAGUGCUGGAGAGGCAGGCGGAAUUCCUAGUGUAGCGGUGAAAUGCGUAGAUAUUAGGAGGAACACCAGUGGCGAAGGCGGCCUGCUGGACAGUAACUGACGUUGAGGCUCGAAGGCGUGGGGAGCAAACAGGAUUAGAUACCCGGGUAGUC